RNAcentral lists this unclassified non-coding RNA (2117 nucleotides) under Hevea brasiliensis (rubber tree). Lineage: Eukaryota; Viridiplantae; Streptophyta; Magnoliopsida; Malpighiales; Euphorbiaceae. The record is from RNAcentral.
AAAAAAAAAGGGAAAGAAAAUGAAAAACCGAAAGAAAGAAUCAAAACUAAAGAAGAAAAUACCAAAAAAGCAAAAAAGCACAAGGGAGAAGAAAAUUUAUUAUCUCACAUACACAACCCAAAAAAUCACCUUAAAACAUACUUAUUACUACUCUGUUGUUCCAUUUUUCGAAUUGAAAUUUUCAUCACCGGUGGUGGUGAAAAUGAGAGGAGCGACGAGCUCUGGUGGUUCUGGUGAUGGUGGCAUGGCCGAUUCUGCUUCUGCUAAAAGGAAUUCCAGGAAACCCCAAUGUCAUUUUCUCUUUCUUCUCCUAUUUCCAUUAUGAUUUAUGUGUUAUUCAUGAGAUGUUGAUUGGGUCUUUUUUUUUUAACAGAAAACAAAUAUCAUAUUUUUGAAUCUGGAAUUUCAUUCCUAUCGAUAUUGUGAUUGUUCUGCAGUUUGAUUAUUAAGGUUUUGCACUGAAUUUCGUAUGUAGGUUAUAAUUGCUCGUUCUAUACAUCAACUGUUUGGCAUUGAUCAAAGAUUUUGGUUCUAUUUGUAAAAUUUGUUGUUAAUUUUGCUUAUUUACCUGCCUGCAUUACCUGUUUGGCUGGUGAUUUUAAUUCUUCUUCAUUUGUUGAAAUGUUGAUGUCUUUGGUUUCAAUAUUCAUUUACAAAUGUCAAAUUAGAAGCUGAUCCCCCCCAUCCCCCUCUUCUCCUUCUGUGGGUUUAUCCGAUGAGUAAUUUUCUUUUUCAGAGAAAAUAUUUUGUACAAUGUUUGUUCUUCUUUGAUGCAGAUUCUAGGUUCACACAACAAGAGCUUCCUGCCUGCAAACCAAUUUUAACGCCAGGAUGGGCAUGUGGUUUAUUAUUAAUUCUUUGACUUCUGUUGUGACGCUCUCUUGUUCUAUAUAUGUAUUUUAAAUAUAUUUCUUAGACUAUAUUUUAUUCAUAAUUGGUUUCAGGUCAUUGCCACAUUCGUUGGUGUUGGCAUUAUUUUCAUUCCUAUUGGUCUCAUUGCCCUGUUUGCAUCAGAACAUGUGGUGGAAAUUGUUGAUCGAUAUGACAAAGAUUGCAUUCCUCCCAACUAUUCAAAUGAUAGCCUCCAAUACAUUCAGAGCAGUAAAACGAACAAGACCUGUACCAGGACCUUAACUGUUCCAAAGCAAAUGAAAAGUCCUGUUUUUAUCUAUUAUGAGCUUGAUAACUUCUAUCAGAACCAUCGUCGAUACGUAAAAAGUCGAAGUGACAAGCAGUUGCGGAGCAAGGCAGGUGAGAGUGACACAGACAACUGUAAACCUGAAGCAGUCACAUCAACUAAUGCUCCAAUUGUUCCUUGUGGCCUUGUUGCAUGGAGUUUGUUCAAUGACACUUAUGGGUUUUCUCUUAAAAACAAGGCCUUAGAUGUCAGCAAAAAAAAUAUAGCAUGGAAAAGCGACCAAGAUUACAAAUUUGGGUCUGAUGUCUAUCCUAAAAAUUUCCAGAGUGGAGGUUUGAUUGGAGGUGCAAAGCUCAAUUCAAGCAUACCUUUGAGUGAACAAGUGGAUCUUAUUGUUUGGAUGCGUACUGCUGCACUUUCAACUUUCAGAAAACUUUAUGGAAGGAUAGAAGUGGACCUUGAAGCUAAUGAUAUAAUUACAGUUACUAUACAGAAUAAUUAUAAUACUUACAGUUUUGGGGGUAAAAAGAAGCUGGUUCUUUCAACCACGAGUUGGAUAGGAGGAAAAAAUGAUUUCCUGGGCAGAGCAUAUCUUACUGUAGGUGGAUUGUGCUUGUUCCUGGCAGUAAGCUUCUUGCUUGUAUACGUGAUCAAGCCCAGGCCUCUUGGUGACCCAGCCUAUUUGUCUUGGAAUAAGAAUCCAACAGGACAAAUGAGUUGGAACUCUUAAACAAUUUUCUGCUCUUUCCGAGUUGAGACUUAGACAUGCUUGGUAAUAUUUUGCAUUUUCAAUAGUGAAAUGGCGGUAACUAGUUGUAGCUAGGUUGAGUUUCAUCGUUGCCUUUGUAACAAACAAUCCUAGUUAAGGUAGUAAAUAAGUUUAAACCUUCUGUUAUGUCCCUGAGGCAGCAAAAGAAGUGGAUUUAGAACUAGAAUUAUUCAUGCACUUUAUUUUAUUUUAUUUUAAAAUCUAUUAAAA